AUUGAACGCUGGCGGCAGGCCUAACACAUGCAAGUCGAACGGUAACAGAAAGCAGCUUGCUGCUUUGCUGACGAGUGGCGGACGGGUGAGUAAUGUCUGGGAAACUGCCUGAUGGAGGGGGAUAACUACUGGAAACGGUAGCUAAUACCGCAUAACGUCGCAAAACCAAAGAGGGGGACCUUCGGGCCUCUUGCCAUCGGAUGUGCCCAGAUGGGAUUAGCUUGUUGGUGGGGUAACGGCUCACCAAGGCGACGAUCCCUAGCUGGUCUGAGAGGAUGACCAGCCACACUGGAACUGAGACACGGUCCAGACUCCUACGGGAGGCAGCAGUGGGGAAUAUUGCACAAUGGGCGCAAGCCUGAUGCAGCCAUGCCGCGUGUAUGAAGAAGGCCUUCGGGUUGUAAAGUACUUUCAGCGGGGAGGAAGGGAGUAAAGUUAAUACCUUUGCUCAUUGACGUUACCCGCAGAAGAAGCACCGGCUAACUCCGUG
RNAcentral lists this ribosomal RNA (490 nucleotides) under uncultured bacterium. Its description in RNAcentral is "partial 16S ribosomal RNA". It matches the Rfam family "Bacterial small subunit ribosomal RNA", at positions 30 to 507 of the family's 1533-position model. The record is from RNAcentral.